Lolium rigidum is the source of this 3554-nucleotide RNA transcript. RefSeq lists it as uncharacterized. NCBI's taxonomy places the organism in Eukaryota, Viridiplantae, Streptophyta, Magnoliopsida, Poales, Poaceae. The transcript is spliced from 2 exons. The record is from RefSeq and is a predicted model, not a curated record.
UCUAACGUGGCAGUUUGAUAUUUUCGUGGCCCUUUCUAGACGAGACUCCCCUGUCUUCUCUCUCGGUAUCUUCGUUCUCCUAAAAAAAAAUCCCUAUUGCCGCCGACUACAGCGGACGACCUGGCCGGCGCUCCAGUGCCUCUUUUCUCGGAUGUGCCGGCGCUGCCACCGGGCGGGCGCACAACGCCGCUCCAGCACCCCCUCCCUAUUCUCUCUUCUUGGCUCUCUCCCGAGGUGCCACUUCUAUGGGAGAAGCCCGUCCCUGGCCGCCGUGCUACUUCCCGAGGUAGCCAUCGACGUGGCUGGCGGCGUGGGGGACGAGCUCGGCGCCCUCCUCUUCUCCCAAGGCGGCUGGCGUGACCAACGUGCUGCGUACCGACGCAGCCCUUCAGAUGGCGCACCUUUCUCUCCCUCCCGAUGUGGCUAGCGGCGUGGAGGAGUCCAAGGUGUGCCUCGCGCUGGGAGCCGCCUCCGCCGGUUUGUUGGGGUUGAGGCGCCUUAGGCGCAGCCGCCAGGGCUCCAUCCACAUCAACACACGUAAGCCCUCUCUCUCUAUGCGAGAUUAAAGAUUGAGGAGAGCAGAUGAUAAUAGUGCAGAAAAGGUUUCGUCCAUUCCGUCCAGAUAUGCUCCCUGACCAAUCGCAGCCUUCCACAGCGAAGGUGUCCAGUGCGUCGUCGACAUCAUGACACCCACCACCGGUUUGUCCAUAACAACGACGUGCGUGCCCUAUACUGCAUCUUCGAGGGCGGGAUGCCGGACGGCCGCCUCGCCUGGGGCUUUGGCAUGAUCUAUAGCGAUGAUACGCAGCUUCAACUCGGCGGCUGCCAUCGAGCACCUCAAACUGCGUGCUCAACAGUUCAAGUUAAGUAUUUGUGUCUUCUGAAUGCUUCUCUCUAUUCCAUGUGUCAUGGGUAUAUCCAUCAUCAAAUUCAAUUUAAUUGUUUUUCUUGAUUUCCAUUUGCAGAUUUGAAUGAACUGUUCUUACUCUGUGAUGGUUUGUCUGUAUACAAUUUUCUUCCAUUUUCCCCAUCUAAUUUGUGUUCAAAUGAUAAGUGCCACUACAAAUUAUGGCCAGCUCAGCUGUAUCCUGUAGUUUAGUGAGGUAUGCAGAUUGAACUGCCCUUUCUCUGUGAUUGUUCGGUAUACAAUUUCUUCCAUUCUCCCAUACAAAUGUUCCACUGAUUGGUUAAUUUAGCUGUUGUUAGUGAGGCAUGGUUUGCCCCAUUGGUUUAUUUGGCUCAUUUCACUGAUCAGUUCACAGCUUGCUGUUAUUAUCUUAUGCCCAACCUUGGAAAAAGGAGGGGUAACAUGAUAUCAUUUCUUGGGCUAUUCAUAUCAUGGUAAUGUUUGGUUGUAUAUUUAUGGUUAUAACUUGAUAGCUUAAAUUUAGUUUACCUUGCCUUAUAAAUUCUAGCAGUGAUGCAGUACUGAAAUUGAAGGCUUAACAUGGGGUUGGUAAAAGGAUGCACAACCCUCUUAGGUUGCUAGAUCGUUUUUUUGCUUUGGUAAAUCGUUGGAUGUUUUUUCCUGUGGUCAAACAUUUUCUGCUCACUAUGACCUCUUUGUUUUCAUUCUUAUAUAUUCCUUACCACUGUCCUCUUGUGGUAUUCAAACAUGAGCAAAACGGCGACUCAUUUUUUCAUUACAGAUGCAUAUAUAUGUAAAAAGCAUCUGCCAUUGUGUGAAAAAGAGCAUGUUACAUAUGGAUCUGCUUAUUUUCCAUUGAUGGUAAAUUGUCUAUCCUUCUUGGUAUUUCUCAUUAAUAUCUGACAGUUAUUAGUGCCGCAUACUGUAAUACUUUACUAACAAUUUUUUGUAUCCAGUUAGUGGUGUAGUUCGUGCAGUACUAGAACUCUUGCCUUUUAUACUUUACCUUCCAUUGUGAUAUACCAAUCCUUUUGAUAAAACAUGAAAAACUGAUACUACAUUUCUUUACCAUGAUCUAUAGCUUGACCAUAUUCCUGAUGGGGUUUAAUAACGAAGAGUUGCUUCUAUUACAAGGUAUGUUGGAUUUUUUUUUGGCGUGCAUACUAUGUGAUUGCAAUGUGCAAAAUUUGUGUAGCGAACUCUUACAGUCAUGUGUGUAAGCUAAAUAGAUAAACAGGUAUUGUGCUGUCAAUUGUUUGAGGGUUGUAAUAAAAACAAAUUUAUUGGUCUUGCAGGUAUAUAAUUUUUACCAUCAUUUUUCAUUUCUCUUUAGCACCUUCCACCUAAGAAUUUGUUCGAUGUCUAAAGACUACUUUUCAUAUACAAAUUCCCUGAUAAGUAUGUCAGAAAAGCUUCUCUUCCUGCUUUCAAGUUACAACAGAGAGCUAUAUAACUUGAGUGAUUUGGUGAUCCCUACUUAAUUAUGAUUUCUAAACGGGAAAUAGUCAAUGUGCCUUAUAAAUUAUCAAUUUCAAGUCCGAGUGCUUUUGAUCUUCUGAAUAGUGAAUCAUCAACUUCUGUUUCGGGAAUGGAAUCAUCUAUUUAUUGUGCGGGCUGAUAUUUGACAAUGCCCUAAUCAACCAGCUGCAUAGAUCAUAAUGUGAAUUUCAGUUUUAGUUUGACAAGCUAGAGAUGUCGAUUUUAUAUUCCUUGGUGAAAUAUGAAUGAAACUGAAUUGGGUGGUCCAAAGUUACUGUAGUUAUGAGAUUCCAUGGGCAGGUUAAAAGGAUUUGGUGACUACUUUAGGCCGACUUCAAAGGAAGUACCAAAUUUCACUGUACACUCCCUUGCUCUUGUGUUUGAUGCUGCUCUCUUUUCUUUGGAGUACCUUCGUAAUUCUUUGUAUGGAAUAUAGUUUCUUUGUAUCACUCUGAACAACUAAAUGGAAAACUUAAAACAUAGUUUCUUAUUUUCAACAAUAAAUGUAUAUAGAGUACAAUGCUUGGAUCAACCAUGGCUCAUGUGGUAUAUACUUCUAUUGUUGUCUUUUGUAUUUAUUUUUUGGCUUGGCUAACAGCGCGUUCUCUUCUGUCUGAUUAUAGUUGUUGGUAUUUUUCUGUUGUUCAUCUUGACAGGCUACUGUCAAUUGAUUAAUGCGGCGUCACCUUGCAGUUGUUAAGGCAGGUAUUCUGCUUCCCCUUCUUUUCUGUAUGUUUUGCUUGCUCAAUGCACGCGGUUUGUCUAUCUGCCUAUGUCUCCGGGGGGAAAUAUAUUUGCUGCCAAUGAUGAUGAGGAUGAGCAGAUCGUUGAGCUGGAUGAUCAGCUGCUGCCACCAACUCUCUGUCCAUGGCGGUGCAGAGAAGAAUUGGAUUUUCAUCGAAAUUUCUGUCUUAUAUCUCAAAGACUAAUAUGAAGAAAUAGUCCGUAAAUACUUGCAAUUGACCAAAUCGGUGCAACAACAAUGAAGACAAGGAACAUUAUACAUCAGGAAGUGCUUUCCUGUAGCUAAUAUUUCUACCCCCAGUUUGGUGAAACUAUCUUCCUAUCGUACGGGUGGCAUGUACCAUGUACUCCUUUUGUAACAACAAUAGUUGUUCUGUAUGUUGAAUAAUAUGUGGUUAAUUUCACUAGCACGGGAUGAUAGACACGUUGUUGUUGAUAUGCAGUCUCUUUUUGCUGAUUUGUC